Molecule: ribosomal RNA, 331 nt
Filed under: uncultured Bacillota bacterium
Lineage: Bacteria; Bacillati; Bacillota
Description: bacterial SSU rRNA
Rfam family: Bacterial small subunit ribosomal RNA
Source: RNAcentral
GAUGAACGCUGGCGGCGUGCUUAACACAUGCAAGUCGAACGGACUUAUACUGAAACCUAGUGAUGUAUAAGUUAGUGGCGGACGGGUGAGUAACGCGUGGGUAACCUGCCGUAUACAGGGGGAUAACACUUAGAAAUAGGUGCUAAUACCGCAUAAGCGCACAGGACCGCAUGGUCGAGUGUGAAAAAGAUUUAUCGGUAUACGAUGGACCCGCGUCUGAUUAGCCAGUUGGCAGGGUAACGGCCUACCAAAGCGACGAUCAGUAGCCGGCCUGAGAGGGUGAACGGCCACAUUGGGACUGAGACACGGCCCAAACUCCUACGGGAGGCAG